RNAcentral lists this ribosomal RNA (253 nucleotides) under uncultured bacterium. RNAcentral describes it as "partial 16S ribosomal RNA". It matches the Rfam family "Bacterial small subunit ribosomal RNA", at positions 524 to 776 of the family's 1533-position model. The record is from RNAcentral.
UACGUAGGGUGCGAGCGUUAAUCGGAAUUACUGGGCGUAAAGCGUGCGCAGGCGGUUUUGUAAGCCAGAUGUGAAAGCCCCGGGCUUAACCUGGGAAUGGCAUUUGGGACUGCAAGGCUUGAGUGCGGCAGAGGAGACUGGAAUUCCUGGUGUAGCAGUGAAAUGCGUAGAUAUCAGGAGGAACACCAAUUGCGAAGGCAGCUCGCUGGGACGUUACUGACGCUGAGACGCGAAAGCGUGGGGAGCAAACAGG